AGGGGUGAGCAUCGAUUCAAAACCGAACCGAACCGACCCAAAAUGACAAAACCGAAACCGAACCGACUUGCCAUUACUUCGGACCGAACCGAACCGCCCUCAUGCUAAAAACCGACCAAAACCGAACCGGACGAAACCAAUCGGUUUCGGUCGGUAACCGAACCGACAACCUGUUUUUUCGAAAAAAGCAUUAAAAUCAAUAAAUUACUCAUGAAUUCACUAAUCUGCCUGCCAUAAACGAAAUCUGCUCAUGAAUUCACAAACUAACAUGAAUUCACUAAAAUAUAACAUGAAUUCACUAUUCAACUCAUUCAAAAUCUGCCAUAAACGAAAAUAUAAGUAUAUAACAUGAAUUCACUAAAAUAAAACACGAAUUCAAAAUCUGUUGCUGCUGCGUCGCGCGGUGCUGCUAAUCGCCGAGCAGCCUGCUGCUAGUCGCUGAGCAGC
Molecule: long non-coding RNA, 447 nt
Filed under: Salvia miltiorrhiza (redroot sage)
Lineage: Eukaryota; Viridiplantae; Streptophyta; Magnoliopsida; Lamiales; Lamiaceae
Description: long non-coding RNA (SMIL_LNC004245)
Source: RNAcentral